RNAcentral lists this small nucleolar RNA (87 nucleotides) under Triticum aestivum (bread wheat). RNAcentral describes it as "Small nucleolar RNA R38". It matches the Rfam family "Small nucleolar RNA R38". From Rfam's summary of the family: snoR38 is a C/D box small nucleolar RNA conserved across yeast, human, Arabidopsis and rice. The record is from Rfam by way of RNAcentral. RNAcentral also lists the same sequence under 1 other name. Lineage: Eukaryota; Viridiplantae; Streptophyta; Magnoliopsida; Poales; Poaceae.
GGAUGUGGAUGAUGAGAGUAAAAAUACAGUUAUCCCUGUCUUACUUCCUCGGAAGGGUGCUGAGAAUACUUUCAAUCUGACACGAUU